GCUGUAUGCCCGUCUUGGGCGUUUCCUCCCUAAACUCGGGCCGUGCUUGUCACGGCCCCUUUUUUUCCCGACG
This is a non-coding RNA of Kaistia sp. SCN 65-12, 73 nucleotides long. NCBI's taxonomy places the organism in Bacteria, Pseudomonadati, Pseudomonadota, Alphaproteobacteria, Hyphomicrobiales, Kaistiaceae. The record is from Rfam.